UUUAUGGAGAGUUUGAUCCUGGCUCAGGAUGAACGCUGGCGGCGUGCCUAAUACAUGCAAGUCGAGCGAACGGACGAGAAGCUUGCUUCUCUGAUGUUAGCGGCGGACGGGUGAGUAACACGUGGAUAACCUACCUAUAAGACUGGGAUAACUUCGGGAAACCGGAGCUAAUACCGGAUAAUAUUUUGAACCGCAUGGUUCAAAAGUGAAAGACGGUCUUGCUGUCACUUAUAGAUGGAUCCGCGCUGCAUUAGCUAGUUGGUAAGGUAACGGCUUACCAAGGCAACGAUGCAUAGCCGACCUGAGAGGGUGAUCGGCCACACUGGAACUGAGACACGGUCCAGACUCCUACGGGAGGCAGCAGUAGGGAAUCUUCCGCAAUGGGCGAAAGCCUGACGGAGCAACGCCGCGUGAGUGAUGAAGGUCUUCGGAUCGUAAAACUCUGUUAUUAGGGAAGAACAUAUGUGUAAGUAACUGUGCACAUCUUGACGGUACCUAAUCAGAAAGCCACGGCUAACUACGUGCCAGCAGCCGCGGUAAUACGUAGGUGGCAAGCGUUAUCCGGAAUUAUUGGGCGUAAAGCGCGCGUAGGCGGUUUUUUAAGUCUGAUGUGAAAGCCCACGGCUCAACCGUGGAGGGUCAUUGGAAACUGGAAAACUUGAGUGCAGAAGAGGAAAGUGGAAUUCCAUGUGUAGCGGUGAAAUGCGCAGAGAUAUGGAGGAACACCAGUGGCGAAGGCGACUUUCUGGUCUGUAACUGACGCUGAUGUGCGAAAGCGUGGGGAUCAAACAGGAUUAGAUACCCUGGUAGUCCACGCCGUAAACGAUGAGUG
Molecule: ribosomal RNA, 832 nt
Filed under: Staphylococcus aureus
Lineage: Bacteria; Bacillati; Bacillota; Bacilli; Caryophanales; Staphylococcaceae
Description: bacterial SSU rRNA
Rfam family: Bacterial small subunit ribosomal RNA
Source: RNAcentral